UCUACGGGAGGCAGCAGUCGAGAAUCAUUCACAAUGGGGGAAACCCUGAUGGUGCGACGCCGCGUGGGGGAAUGAAGGUCUUCGGAUUGUAAACCCCUGUCAUGUGGGAGCAAAUUAAAAAGAUAGUACCACAAGAGGAAGAGACGGCCAACUCGGUGCGAGCAGCCGCGGUAAUACAGGGGUCUCAAGCGUUGUUCGGAAUCACUGGGCGUAAAGAGUGCGUAGGCUGUUUCGUAAGUCGUGUGUGAAAGGCGCGGGCUCAACCCGCGGAUGGCACAUGAUACUGGGAGACUAGAGUAAUGGAGGGGGAACCGGAAUUCUCGGUGUAGCAGUGAAAUGCGUAGAUAUCGAGAGGAACACUCGUGGCGAAGGCGGGUUCCUGGACAUUAACUGACGCUGAGGCACGAAGGCCAGGGGAGCGAAAGGGAUUAGAUACCCUAGUAGUC
Molecule: ribosomal RNA, 446 nt
Filed under: uncultured bacterium
Lineage: Bacteria
Description: partial 16S ribosomal RNA
Rfam family: Bacterial small subunit ribosomal RNA
Source: RNAcentral